This 976-nucleotide ribosomal RNA is filed under the name uncultured bacterium. RNAcentral's name for it is "bacterial SSU rRNA". It matches the Rfam family "Bacterial small subunit ribosomal RNA", at positions 42 to 994 of the family's 1533-position model. The record is from RNAcentral.
GUGUGUCUUAGUCAUGCAAGUCGAACGAGAAAGUCAUCUUCGGGUGGCGAGUACAGUGGCGAACGGGUGAGUAACACGUGGGCAACCUGCCCCUAAGUUUGGGAUAACACUUCCAACGAGGUGCUAAUACCGAAUGACAAGGCGAGUUGAUGACUCGUUUUUAAAGGUGGCCUCUAUUUAUAAGCUGCCGCCUAGGGAUGGGCCCGCGUCGUAUUAGCUUGUUGGUAGGGUAAUGGCCUACCAAGGCGACGAUGCGUAGCCGGCCUGAGAGGGUAAACGGCCACACUGGCACUGAGAUAAGGGCCAGUCUCCUACGGGAGCCAGCAGUCUAGAAAUUUGCACAAUCGCCGAAAGGCGGAUGCAGCGACACCACGUGGAGGAUGAAGCCCCUCGGGUGUAAACUCCUGUCAGAAGGGAAGAAGGUGCGGGCGUUAAUACCGCUCGUUGCUUGACGGUACCUUCAGAGGAAGCUCCGGCUAACUACGUGCCAGCAGCCGCGGUAAUACGUAGGGAGCGAGCGUUGUUCGGAUUUACUGGGCGUAAAGGGCACGUAGGCGGGUAUACAAGUCGGUUGUGAAAUCCUCUGGCUCAACCAGAGAACUGCAGCCGAAACUGUACGCCUUGAGUCUAGCAGAGGGGAUCGGAAUCCCAGGUGUAGCGGUGAAAUGCGUAGAUAUCUGGGAGAACAUCAGUGGCGAAGGCGGAUUCCUGGGCUGGUACUGACGCUGAGGUGCGAAAGCUAAGGGAGCGAACAGGAUUAGAUACCCUGGUAGUCUUAGCCGUAAACGAUGGGUACUAGGUGUUGGGGGACAUUGACCCCCUCAGUGCCGUAGCUAACGCAUUAAGUACCCCGCCUGGGGUGUACGGCCGCAAGGCUGAAACUCAAAGGAAUUGACGGGGACCCGCACAAGCAGUGGAGCAUGUUGCUUAAUUCGAUGCAACGCGAAGAACCUUACCAGGGCUUGACAUCCGAGGA